Molecule: long non-coding RNA, 432 nt
Organism: Helianthus annuus (common sunflower)
Lineage: Eukaryota; Viridiplantae; Streptophyta; Magnoliopsida; Asterales; Asteraceae
Exons: 3
Source: RefSeq, a predicted model, not a curated record
UCCCAGAGAGCUCCCAUGGAGCCAAGACCCUAACUCUAUCAAUAUCAUCAAAUUGAAGGCUCAAACGAAGUCUAAAUUCACAAUUGAACGUGAAUUAAUGAUCACCCAAGCUAGGGGAUCAUAAGUUUGACGCUUGACGAGCUAGGUGAAAGCUUGAGAAGGAAGCGGGUCAAAUGAAUUAAGAAAGAAGGAAAAGCAUAAUCAGGAUGCAAGGUAACUUAUUUGGAAUGCCGGUCGACGAUCAAGCUCAACAAGGAACCGAACACGUUCAGGAUUAAAGCUUCCGCGUUAGGUAUCGUCGUCAUGUUUAAAAACGGCGGUAUCAAUACAAGACUUGAAAUGUUUUAAACCUUAAAACUUUUUAACAAACUCGUAUUUUCAACUGUAUAUGUAAUCGGAAAUACCCAAUCAUAGUCGAUAUUUAUAUGUAAA